UCGAGCGGAUUCCCUCCUCCUCCUCUUAUUUCCAAACUCGCCGUGUUGAAGAGCAGCACUGGUUAGAGUGAAGUCUUAGCCUUGUGAUGUUGUGCUAGCUGUGUUAACAAUGUAGAUAAUUGCGUCGGACAUCACCGUCUGUUUCUAUUCCAUAAUUAUUUCGUCCUCUACAGGCGGCUCAUUUCAUUUCGACCCUGAUUCUAACAUCAAGAUAACUCUCGACGCGGUGGCGAGCAGACGAUAUCUCACGAGGCUGUAACUAGCAGACGAAGGUCGCCGAAACAACGGAUGCUAAUGAGUCUUCAGAUCAAGUCUCCAGUCUGUAUAUUUCCGGGAAUCACAUAGAUCUAGUUUGCCAAUAAUUUGGAUUCAGCAACUUCUUAUCAAAAAGUCAUCACUAGCCAUCUUGAUGUGAUAACAUCCACACAUCGCAUCUAACAUCAACAUAAUCAGCGCCACAUCAAUUCUAACAUCAACAUAACGAAACAUAGACGAAGAACGCCAUAGGCAAUCUUCAAAUUUUAAAUUCUACAAAUAAAUUUGAAAGUUCUUAGUUGGCACGAGUUCAAUUAAAAGAAACAAAAAACAACACAGUUUUAAGAACUUUUAAAAACCUAGUUAAAACUUUAAAAAAAAAUGGAAACACUCUGUUUUAAAAGUAUUGUUUUAUUUCUUUUGUUAACUGCAUUGGACGGAGCUGUCUUGAGGCAGAGCAUCGUUUGUGGCGGCGGGGACUGUCUUUUGGGAGAAUUCUAUGACGCGGAUGUUCAAAUAUGUCGGCCGUGUCUAAACAGAACAUUCAUGGACAUGAAUGACCAAAGCUGCAACGCUUGUAAGCCUUGUACGGACAUCCGAAGCCCAGGUGUCCUAGUUCAAUUCCCUUGCAACCAAUCCAGAGACACCGUUUUUGUUUGCGCGGAAGGAUACUUUAAGACAAAGUCCGACCUUGACAUCUACUCUUGCGCGCCGUGCACCGUGUGCAAACAAGGACACCAUAUUCUUUCAGGUUGCACUCCAUUAAGAGACACCGUCUGUGGUAGCGAUGCAGAUUCAGGGGAAGAUUCCGGCUCCGGGAACAUAUCGGGAUGGCUCAUCCCCCUCUUGUCGGUGUCCAUUCCAGCCCUGAUUCUAAUUAUCGCGUUCGCUAUUGUAAGCCUCAAUAAAGUGUCCUCUAUUCAGCGUAAAUUUCUCUGUCACCGCAGUAAGGAAGAUGACGAGGUCUCCAUAGUGGAAACGUACAAACAUCUGCAGGAAGAGCGAAAAGAAAAAAGGAAGAAGAAAAAGUCGAAAGAUAAAGAGAAAGCCAAAGGAAGGGAGGCAACACCAACAGAGUCCUAAUUAAGUUAGAAACACUGAAAGAUCUGCUUGCCUUAAUCUAAUGUAUUUUGCAUCAUCGCUUUAAUUUGUAUUUGUUUUUUUUUUUCUUUUCAAUUUUUUCAUUUUAAACCUAAUUUUUUUUUAUUGUUGAAAUUGAUUAAAUUUUAAUAGCUCGUAAAUUUUCUUAUUCCCCUAUGCAAGAAAUAAUAUUUCCUUACCAUAUAUUAUCAUCCUUCCAAGAAGACAACAAAGAACUAAACUGUAUGAAUAAAUAAAAUUAAGCGAAUACAAGACAGCCUAAAAUUUGAAUUAUAAAUUACAAAAAAAAAAAUAUUCUAUUCUUAUUCACGCGAAAAGAGGAGAGCACUCAAAAACUAUGCCAAAAUAUUACAAUUCUUACAGUUUUAUUUCCCUUUUUUCCCAUAAUUCUAAAGAACCAGAGAUAACAUAACGGCUGAAAAUGAUUAGAGCAUAGACUUCUAUAUAGGCCUACUACUCUAGACUGGGCAUGGAGACUUUUUAAAACUACAAAAAAUGUCGUGAAAAUUUUUGUAGAAAGUUGGAUCAAGGCGUUGUUUUGUAAAGUACGGUAGUUAAAAGAAGUAAAGUCUCUUUUUUUCAACCCUAACCUAGAUAUGUAACAUAUAAUCAUGGACGUAAAUAAAUAUAGACUGGAAAAAGGAAGUAACUUCAUGUAACUUGAAAACAUGUAUAUCUAUUGUAUUCGGAUUUCCGAAAUAUGAAAAGUUGCAUGAUCUUCAUUCUUAGAGAUUAAACAAAGCUACACUGCCUCCUUAUUUACAAUAUAUAUAGGUGUGUAUCAAAGUUAAAAAAGCACUUUUAUACUGCUCAUAAAUGCUGUAUAAUAAAGUACACAAAAUUGCAAGUCACACAUUUUCGUUUCAUAAAACUCUUUAAUUGGCCAGUCUAUAUUUAUUUAUGUCUAUGCAUAUAAUUUAAUUUCUAGAUCUAGUAAUUGAACAUAUAAAAUAAGAGUAGGCCUACUCUCGUCUCAUAAUUAUUAUUUUGCAAUUUUUAGAUACAUAAUCUAGAAAGAUCUAUUUACAUAAAAUGAUUAAAAUCAACAUGAAUUAUUUCGAUCUAGGAUUUUUGAGACAUUAUCUCACUGGAAACAAACAGAAAAUGGUUUUGUUUCAUAUAUUUGCGUGAAUAUCCGAGAAAUGAUUUUGCAUUAUUUCUAAACUUUGAAAACUAAAGAUCAUUACUUUUCUAAGACAGAAAAGAUUGAUUGGGGCGACUCCCCUUAGCGCUUAAAAAAGAGUUUACACGCAUGAAAAUAUAUAUAUAUAUAUAUAUAUAUAUAUUGGUUUGUGACUCGAUCAGUCGCGGAUAAGAAUUUAUUUCCGGUUUUCAGUCUAGUAUACUAUAUAAGUCUAUGGGUUAGAGCUUAUUACAUUAAAAAGAACUUCAAAUUUUGAAUAUCGCGACAAAUGUGUGCAUUAUACUUGGCAAGAAAUAUUUUAUUUAUUAACGAACCACUUGUAAUUUGUGAAACAUAUUUCAGUGUUAGAUAUUUUUAAUUAUUUCAUUUUAUCGCAUUAUCACUCUUUUUUUUUAAAUAUUAUUUUGUAAAAAUAUGUUUGGAAAUAUUUGUUAUUUCAUGUGGCUCCAAUAGAUUGAACAUUAGAUACUUCUACAUGCAAUGUAAGAAAAAAAAGGAGGCCCUACAUAACGUAGCCUGCAUAAAAAGCCUGUUGUUUUGUCAUUACUUUGAAUUAAUUGGCUUAUCGUUUAUUGUCUUUAACUGUCCUAGUGAGUACCUGGCCAUCAUUCAGUAUCUUUUAUUUAUUACUAUUGCUUUAGUAGGAAAUAAUAGUAGUAAUCCAUAUUAAAGCGUUAUAAACAGAUAAUACAGUGUUUAUUGACGACCUGUGACGUGGCAAAGAACUAUUGGUCUAAACUGCCAAAAGGUUGCGACGUCGAGGAUCAGUGUUUGGUUUCGUCUAGAUCCAGUUUGUCAUGAUAGGCUACUUUUGAAUUUGAACUAUGUGUUAACAUUAGUUAGUUCAUAAUAUAGAUCUUUGAAAUAUACUUAACCGGUUUAGUUUAUUCAUUUCGCCUAGUACCAAUUUUAAUGUCGUGUCUCCAUUGUAUAUAAAUAUAUUUAUGUAUAUAUUUAAAAGUAGGAUAACAGCAAUCCAAAAGGCUAAAAGCUGAUUUUGAUAAUUUAGACAGGGUAUAGAAAUUACAGAUGAACAUUAAUUGCUUUUAGAAGACACAGUGAAUAGUAGAGUGUUAAUUGUUGUUUUAGAACUUAACCUUUGACCUGUUUCACUGCAUUGUUUGAUUGUUAACUGGUGUUCUUUUUAAAUGUUAGUGAACUGAAAUGCCAUUCCCGUCUGUUUAUAUAUGUCAGUGUGUGUUCCCUCUCUGUAUGUGUGUCUCUCUUUCUGUCUGUGUGUGUGUAUGUGUCUCUGUCUGUGUGUUUCCCUCUUAAUUCUUGUAAUUAGUGCUAUUUGCGCCAUACUAUAAUGCUUGACUUUAUGAUUUCCUCUCUUCGCAUAUAUUCUAUAAAUAGAUCAUUAGUUACUCUUUAGUAUUAUCGAUGUAUAUAAUAGUCAAUAAACCAAGUAUAUUUAUUACAUUAAAA
Long non-coding RNA from Biomphalaria glabrata, 3928 nucleotides. RefSeq lists it as uncharacterized. The record is from RefSeq and is a predicted model, not a curated record. Lineage: Eukaryota; Metazoa; Mollusca; Gastropoda; Planorbidae. The transcript is spliced from 2 exons.